RNAcentral lists this ribosomal RNA (1028 nucleotides) under Perennicordyceps elaphomyceticola. Its description in RNAcentral is "SSU rRNA". It matches the Rfam family "Eukaryotic small subunit ribosomal RNA", at positions 71 to 1109 of the family's 1831-position model. Lineage: Eukaryota; Fungi; Ascomycota; Sordariomycetes; Hypocreales; Polycephalomycetaceae. The record is from RNAcentral.
CAAUUAUACGGCGAAACUGCGAAUGGCUCAUUAUAUAAGUUAUCGUUUAUUUGAUAGUACCUUACUACUUGGAUAACCGUGGUAAUUCUAGAGCUAAUACAUGCUGAAAAUCCCGACUUCGGAAGGGAUGUAUUUAUUAGAUUAAAAACCAAUGCCCUCCUGGGCUCUCUGGUGAUUCAUGAUAACUUCUCGAAUCGCACGGCCUCGCGCCGGCGAUGGUUCAUUCAAAUUUCUUCCCUAUCAACUUUCGAUGUUUGGGUAGUGGCCAAACAUGGUUGCAACGGGUAACGGAGGGUUAGGGCUCGACCCCGGAGAAGGAGCCUGAGAAACGGCUACUACAUCCAAGGAAGGCAGCAGGCGCGCAAAUUACCCAAUCCCGACACGGGGAGGUAGUGACAAUAAAUACUGAUACAGGGCUCUUUCGGGUCUUGUAAUUGGAAUGAGUACAAUUUAAAUCCCUUAACGAGGAACAAUUGGAGGGCAAGUCUGGUGCCAGCAGCCGCGGUAAUUCCAGCUCCAAUAGCGUAUAUUAAAGUUGUUGUGGUUAAAAAGCUCGUAGUUGAACCUUGGGCCUGGCUGGCCGGUCCGCCUCACCGCGUGUACUGGUCCGGCCGGGCCUUUCCCUCUGUGGAACCCCAUGCCCUUCACUGGGCGUGGCGGGGAAACAGGACGUUUACUUUGAAAAAAUUAGAGUGCUCCAGGCAGGCCUAUGCUCGAAUACAUUAGCAUGGAAUAAUGAAAUAGGACGCGCGGUUCUAUUUUGUUGGUUUCUAGGACCGCCGUAAUGAUUAAUAGGGACAGUCGGGGGCAUCAGUAUUCAAUUGUCAGAGGUGAAAUUCUUGGAUUUAUUGAAGACUAACUACUGCGAAAGCAUUUGCCAAGGAUGUUUUCAUUAAUCAGGAACGAAAGUUAGGGGAUCGAAGACGAUCAGAUACCGUCGUAGUCUUAACCAUAAACUAUGCCGACUAGGGAUCGGACGAUGUUAUUUUUUGACUCGUUCGGCACCUUACGAGAAAUCAAAGUGCUGG